RNAcentral lists this ribosomal RNA (493 nucleotides) under uncultured bacterium. RNAcentral describes it as "partial 16S ribosomal RNA". It matches the Rfam family "Bacterial small subunit ribosomal RNA", at positions 28 to 505 of the family's 1533-position model. The record is from RNAcentral.
GACGAACGCUGGCGGCGUGCCUAAUACAUGCAAGUAGAACGCUGAAGGAGGAGCUUGCUCUUCUGGAUGAGUUGCGAACGGGUGAGUAACGCGUAGGUAACCUGCCUGGUAGCGGGGGAUAACUAUUGGAAACGAUAGCUAAUACCGCAUAAGAGUAGAUGUUGCAUGACAUUUGCUUAAAAGGUGCAAUUGCAUCACUACCAGAUGGACCUGCGUUGUAUUAGCUAGUUGGUGGGGUAACGGCUCACCAAGGCGACGAUACAUAGCCGACCUGAGAGGGUGAUCGGCCACACUGGGACUGAGACACGGCCCAGACUCCUACGGGAGGCAGCAGUAGGGAAUCUUCGGCAGUGGACGGAAGUCUGACCGAGCAAUGCCGCGUGAGUGAAGAAGGUUUUCGGAUCGUAAAGCUCUGUUGUAAGAGAAGAACGAGUGUGAGAGUGGAAAGUUCACACUGUGACGGUAUCUUACCAGAAAGGGACGGCUAACUACG